GAUGAACGCUGGCGGCGUGCCUAAUACAUGCAAGUCGAGCGAACAGACGCGGCGCUUGCUCCUCUGACGUUAGCGGCGGACGGGUGAGUAACACGUGGAUACCCUACCUAUAAGACUGGGAUAACUUCGGGAAACCGGCGCUAAUACCGGAUAAUAUAUUGAACCGCAUGGUUCAAUAGUGAAAGUCGGUUUUGCUGUCACUUAUAGAUGGAUCCGCGCCGCAUUAGCUAGUUGGUAAGGUAACGGCUUACCAAGGCAACGAUGCGUAGCCGACCUGAGAGGGGGGUCGGCCACACUGGAGCGGAGACACGGUCCAGACUCCUACGAGAGGCAGCAGUAGGGAAUGUUCCGCAGUGGGCGAAAGCCUGACGGAGCAGCGCCGCGUGAGUGAUGAAGGUCUUCGGAUCGUAAAACUCUGUUAUUAGGGAAGAACAAAUGUGUAAGUAACUAUGCACGUCUUGACGGUACCUAGUCAGAAAGCCACGGCUAACUACGUG
RNAcentral lists this ribosomal RNA (497 nucleotides) under uncultured bacterium. Its description in RNAcentral is "partial 16S ribosomal RNA". It matches the Rfam family "Bacterial small subunit ribosomal RNA", at positions 28 to 507 of the family's 1533-position model. The record is from RNAcentral.